Patella vulgata (common limpet) is the source of this 546-nucleotide long non-coding RNA. RefSeq lists it as uncharacterized. Lineage: Eukaryota; Metazoa; Mollusca; Gastropoda; Patellidae. The transcript is spliced from 4 exons. The record is from RefSeq and is a predicted model, not a curated record.
AAAAAGGAACUAACUUUUAUUUUUGAACCUUUAAAAUCGCUCCAGUUUGGAAUAUGUGAUGUAAUUAAUAUACAAGCCCGGAAAUAAGAAUAACACUGUUGCUGCGAUUUCUAAAAGUCUGAUGAGCGGUGUGUUUGUAUGAAUUACGAGGUUUUUAUGUACGUCAUCAGAAUGUGGAGUAAUAUUAUAACACUGAUUCUCAUUUAUCUUAGCACAGUCAAAGGUCAGUCAAAAGAUGAAUUUGCGUUUGGUCGAACCUUUUAUUUAAACCCAGUUUUGUUGCCGUGGGACGAAGCUUUACGUGGGUGCCAUGAACUAAAUGCUACCCUAGCAACAAUGUACAGUUUAUCUACCAUUGGUGAUUUAGAGUUUACUGGGGACUGGACAUUCUGGACUGGUCUACACCAAGACACAAAAGAUAACUGGACCUGGUCGAAUGGGAACGAAAAAGACUGGACAAAUUGGAAUUUUGGACUGGAGACAGUCGACGAACCUGUUCGCUCCUGUGUAGCUACCGUCACCAAGAUACGCAACUGGUGGUUGCCU